RNAcentral lists this small RNA (108 nucleotides) under Gopherus agassizii (Agassiz's desert tortoise). RNAcentral describes it as "TUC338 (ENSGAGG00000022850.1)". The record is from RNAcentral. Lineage: Eukaryota; Metazoa; Chordata; Testudines; Testudinidae.
UCGACUUACCCACCAAGAAGGACAGUAUGAGCAAUACAAGCUUCCCCACUGCUUCCUAGUCCAUGUGCUCAGCCCUGACCCGGAGGAACCACUCCUGGAGGUGAGAGA